Molecule: ribosomal RNA, 1751 nt
Filed under: Capsicum annuum
Lineage: Eukaryota; Viridiplantae; Streptophyta; Magnoliopsida; Solanales; Solanaceae
Description: eukaryotic LSU rRNA
Rfam family: Eukaryotic large subunit ribosomal RNA
Source: RNAcentral
CGCGGCCAUCGGUGUAGAUCUUAGUGGUAGUAAAAAAUAUUCAAUUGAGAACUUUGAAGGCCGAAGAUGGGAAAGGUUCCAUGUAAAUGACACUUGCACAUGGGUUAGUCAUUCCUAAGGUUCGGGGGAACCCCGAUAUAUAACAAAUUUCACGCAUACUCCAAAAGGGAAUCGGGUUAAAAUUCCUGAACUGGGACGUGAUGGUUGAUGGCAAUGUUAGGAAGUCUGAAGAUGUCGGCAGGAGCCUCGGAAAGUAUUAUUUUUUUGUUUAACAGCCUGCCCACCCUGGAAUCGGCUCAGCCAGAGGUAGGGUCCAACGGCUGGAAGAGCACUGUACGUCGCGUGGUGUUCGGUACACUCCCAGUGGCCCUUAAAAAUCCAAAGGACCGAAUGUCAUCCAUGACCGAUCAUACUCAUAACUGCAUCAGGUCUCCAAGGUGAACAAUCUAUGGUUGAUGGAACAAUGUAGGCAAGGUAAGUCGGCAAAAAGGAUCCAUAAGUUUGGGAAAAGGAUUGGCUCAGAGGGCUAGGCACGAGGGUCCUAAUUCCAAACCCGUCGGCUGUUGGUGGACUGCUUGAGCCGCCAACUCAGAACUAGUACAGACAAGGGGAAUCUGACUGUUUAAUUAAAACAAAGCAUUGCAUGGUCCUAACGGAUGUUCACGCAAUACGAUUUCUGCUAGUGGUUUGAAUGUUAAUGUGAAGAAAUUCAACCAAGUGCGGGUAAAUGGCGGGAGUAACUAUGACUCUCUUAAGGUAGCCAAAUGCAUCGUCAUCAAAUUAGUGAUGCACAUGAAUAGACUAACGAGAUUUCUACUGUCCUUUUCUACUAACCAGCGAAACCACAACUAAGGGAACAGGCUUGGCAAAUCAGUAGUGAAAGAAGACCCUGUUGAGGUUGACUCUAUUCCGACUUUGUGAAAUAGCUUGAGAGGUGUAGUAUAAGUUGGAGCUGAAAGGCGAAAGUGAAAAACCACUACUUUUAACGUUAUUGCACUUAUUACGUGAAUCAGAAGCGGGGAACUACCUCACUUUUUGGACCGAAGGCUCGCUCUACAGGCCGACCCAGGUGGAAGAUAUUAUUAGGUGGGGAGUUUGGUUGGGGUGGCACAUCUAUUAAAAUAUAAAUAAUGUGCCCUAAAAUAGCUCAACAGAAUAGAAAUAUCAUGCGGAACCGAAGGGUAAAAUCUCAUUUGAUUCUGAUUUCUAGUACGAAUAUGUAUCAUGAAGCGUGUCCAAAUGAUCCUUUAGACCUUCGAAAUUCGAAGCUAGAGGUGUCAGAAAAUUUAGCACAGGGAUAACUGGUUUGUGGCAGCCAAGAAUUCAUAGCGACAUUGCUUUUUAAUUCUUCGAUGUCGGCUCUUCCUAUCAUUGUGAAGCAGAAUUCACCAAGUGUUGGAUAGUUCAUCCACCAAUAGGAAACAUGAGCUGGGUUUAGACUAUCAUGAGACAGGUUAGUUUUACCCUACUGAUGAUAGUGUCAUAAUAGUAAUUCAAUGUAGUAUGAGAGGAACCAUUGAUUCACAUAUUGGUCAUCACGCAUGGUUGAAAAUCCAAUGGUGCGAAGCUACCUUCUGCUGGAUUAUGACUAAAUGACUCUAAGUCAGAAUCUAGCUAUAAGUGAUGUAUGCGCCCUCCGUCCUCUUGCCAACCCGCAGUAGGGGCCUUGGCCUUUAAUGGACCGUCUUGUUGGCUAAGCCAUUAUGGCGAAAGAAUCACGGUGGCCACCUUAAAGUACAAUUUCCAUCAAG